RNAcentral lists this unclassified non-coding RNA (366 nucleotides) under uncultured fungus. RNAcentral describes it as "sequence contains ITS2". The stretch from base 1 to 154 matches the Rfam family "5.8S ribosomal RNA". Lineage: Eukaryota; Fungi. The record is from RNAcentral.
AACUUUUGGCAACGGAUCUCUUGGUUCUGGCAUCGAUGAAGAACGCAGCGAAAUCCGAUAAGUAAUGUGAAUUGCAGAAUUCAGUGAAUAAUCGAAUCUUUAAACGAAAAUUGCGCCCCUUGGUAUUCCGAGGGGCAUGCCUGUUCGAGCGUCAUUACAACCCUCAAGCACAGCUUGGUAUUGGGCUCCGCUGGUUCCAGCGGGCCUUAAACUCAGUGGCGGCGCCCUCAGGCUCUGAGCGUAGUAAAUUGUUCUUUAGCUACAGAGUCCUGGGCGGCGGUGGCCAUCAACCCCCAACUUUCUAAGUUUGACCUCGGAUCAGGUAGGGAUACCCGCUGAACUUAAGCAUAUCAAUAAGCGGAGGCU